AGUGAACGCUGGCGGUAGGCCUAACACAUGCAAGUCGAACGGCAGCACAGUAAGAGCUUGCUCUUACGGGUGGCGAGUGGCGGACGGGUGAGGAAUACAUCGGAAUCUACUUUUUCGUGGGGGAUAACGUAGGGAAACUUACGCUAAUACCGCAUACGACCUACGGGUGAAAGCAGGGGAUCUUCGGACCUUGCGCGAUUGAAUGAGCCGAUGUCGGAUUAGCUAGUUGGCGGGGUAAAGGCACACCAAGGCGACGAUCCGUAGCUGGUCUGAGAGGAUGAGCAGCCACACUGGAAUUGAGACACGGUCCAGACUCCGACGGGAGGCAGAAGUGGGGAAUAUUGGACAAUGGGCGCAAGCCUAAUCCAGCCAUACCGCGUGGGUGAAGAAGGCCUUCGGGUUGUAAAGGCAUUUUGUUGGGAAAGAAAAGCAGGAGGUUAAUACCCCGCUGUUCUGACGGUACCCAAAGAAUAAGCACCGGCUAACUUCGUG
This 492-nucleotide ribosomal RNA is filed under the name uncultured bacterium. Its description in RNAcentral is "partial 16S ribosomal RNA". It matches the Rfam family "Bacterial small subunit ribosomal RNA", at positions 29 to 507 of the family's 1533-position model. The record is from RNAcentral.